GGCUCAGGAUGAACGCUGGCGGCGUGCUUAACACAUGCAAGUCGAACGAUGAAGCCCAGCUUGCUGGGUGGAUUAGUGGCGAACGGGUGAGUAACACGUGAGUAACCUGCCCUUAACUCUGGGAUAAGCCUGGGAAACUAGGUCUAAUACCGGAUAGGAGCGCCUACCGCAUGGUGGGUGUUGGAAAGAUUUAUCGGUUUUGGAUGGACUCGCGGCCUAUCAGCUUGUUGGUGAGGUAAUGGCUCACCAAGGCGACGACGGGUAGCCGGCCUGAGAGGGUGACCGGCCACACUGGGACUGAGACACGGCCCAGACUCCUACGGGAGGCAGCAGUGGGGAAUAUUGCACAAUGGGCGCAAGCCUGAUGCAGCGACGCCGCGUGAGGGAUGACGGCCUUCGGGUUGUAAACCUCUUUCAGUAGGGAAGAAGCGAAAGUGACG
The sequence is a ribosomal RNA, 440 nucleotides long. It matches the Rfam family "Bacterial small subunit ribosomal RNA", at positions 21 to 474 of the family's 1533-position model.